This 26-nucleotide ribosomal RNA is filed under the name Naganishia albida. RNAcentral describes it as "partial 18S ribosomal RNA". Lineage: Eukaryota; Fungi; Basidiomycota; Tremellomycetes; Filobasidiales; Filobasidiaceae. The record is from RNAcentral.
UAGGUGAACCAGCGGAAGGAUCAUUA